CAUUGUAGGACAUUCGUCGGCAACCAUUUAGUCAUGUUUGCUAACAUGACCGUCCAAGUUAUCAAUUAUGUCAGGUUACAUUAAGGAAGCUGGCAUGAGCAUGCCAUCAAAGUUGUUGACAUGUUUGUCAUCUUGGAUGAUCAUGUUGGCAACCAUGUUGAUGUGGUAGAUCAUGUGCUGCGUAUG
RNAcentral lists this microRNA precursor (186 nucleotides) under Populus trichocarpa (black cottonwood). Its description in RNAcentral is "miR6463 stem-loop (ptc-MIR6463)". The record is from miRBase by way of RNAcentral. Lineage: Eukaryota; Viridiplantae; Streptophyta; Magnoliopsida; Malpighiales; Salicaceae.